RNAcentral lists this ribosomal RNA (32 nucleotides) under Trichoderma inhamatum. RNAcentral describes it as "partial 18S ribosomal RNA". Lineage: Eukaryota; Fungi; Ascomycota; Sordariomycetes; Hypocreales; Hypocreaceae. The record is from RNAcentral.
UCUGAGGACAGGGCAGUUUGUGGGAUCAUAUA